CUCGUUUAUUGAUUUUACCUGGACAUAUUUGUUUCUCUACCAGUAGAUGCAACUGCACAUCUAUCAACGCCCUUCAUUGAAUCAUCUUCAAUUCCAUAGAAAGUCGGCGAGAAAAUGGAAUACUCGAUUGAUUUGUGCGCCUUCUACUUCACAUUCUGCAACAUCUUAUGUCCCGGCCCUAAGGUUUGGGGCUUCAAUUGCGUGAUGGAAUGCUUCUGCAACUGUGACCCGACAGCCGAGGUGGUCAUCCCGGCCCACACUCUUGGCGGACCAAUGGUGAAGGGUUUCUAAGGAUGAUGCAAUUAAAGCUAAUACAUGUUUGGUGUCACAUAUAUCCUCGAUGUCGUUAACAGAACAUACAUACAUGUCCUCUGUUCAGUAGUCAUUAGGAAAGCCCCAUGUACUCUGUAUCCCAAAUACGUGUCCAUCAUACAUACAUGAUGGACGUUUUCCUUGGUUGACCUAUUUAAGCGAACAAUGAAGCGUAUCCAGUUUUCUUGGCAAGUAUUUCACUAAACGUAUUCCAUUUCAUCUUCGACAUCAAUAUGUUCUGAUUCAAAAGUGCCAAAAGCCAACAACAAGGAAGGCUGAAAAUAAGUAAUUAACUGAAAACAGAAGACAAUAUAAAGAUCUAUACAAUGUUUGAUUUCAGAGAGAGAAAACAAGAAAAUAUGGUUCGAAUUUAAUAUUUUUUGAAAUUAAUAUUUACAUUGAUUGGCAAUUUAUAUGGAAAACUGGAGGGUGAAUAUUGGAACACUAUUUAUGUAUGAUUUAUACACAAUGUAGUAUUCGAAAUAAUAAAAUAAAUGUCAUGAAAUGAGAA
Nicrophorus vespilloides is the source of this 823-nucleotide long non-coding RNA. RefSeq lists it as uncharacterized. The record is from RefSeq and is a predicted model, not a curated record. Lineage: Eukaryota; Metazoa; Arthropoda; Insecta; Coleoptera; Silphidae. The transcript has 4 exons.